This 2573-nucleotide ribosomal RNA is filed under the name compost metagenome. RNAcentral's name for it is "bacterial LSU rRNA". It matches the Rfam family "Bacterial large subunit ribosomal RNA", at positions 14 to 2555 of the family's 2925-position model. The record is from RNAcentral.
AGGGCGUGCGGUGGAUGCCUAGGCGCCGAGAGGCGAUGAAGGACGUGGGUGGCUGCGAAAAGCCUCGGGGAGCCGCCAACCAGGCUUUGAUCCGGGGAUGUCCGAAUGGGGAAACCCGACGCGGGUAAUGCCGCGUCAUCCCGUGCUGAAUUCAUAGGUGCGGGAGGCGAACCAGGGGAAGUGAAACAUCUCAGUACCCUGAGGAAAAGAAAACAACCGUGAUUCCGUGAGUAGUGGCGAGCGAAAGCGGAAGAGGCCAAACCGUCGGACGCAAGUCCGGCGGGGUAGUGGGGCCGCGUACGGUACCGAGGUCCUGUAGCCGAACCCGUCUGGAAAGUCGGGCCAUAGAGGGUGACAGCCCCGUAGGCGAAACGGGAGUUCGGGCCAGCGGGAACCCCAAGUAGGGCGGGACACGUGAAAUCCUGUCCGAAUCUGCCGGGACCAUCCGGUAAGCCUAAAUACUCCUCGGCGACCGAUAGUGAACGAGUACCGCGAGGGAACGGUGAAAAGAACCCCGGCGAGGGGAGUUAAAAGAACCUGAAACCGCACGUCUACAAGCAGUUCGAGCGCUAUGCCCGCAAGGGAAUGCGCGAGAGCGUACCUUUUGCAUCAUGAUCCGGCGACUUGAUGUGCGUGGCGAGCUUAAGCCGUUAGGUGUAGGCGUAGCGAAAGCGAGUCCGAAAUGGGCGUCAAGUCGCGCGCAUCAUAACCCGAAGCCAGGUGAUCUACCCAUGGCCAGGGUGAAGCGCGGGUAAAACCGCGUGGAGGCCCGAACCCGUGGAGGUUGAAAACUUCUGGGAUGAGCUGUGGGUAGGGGUGAAAGGCCAAUCAAACCUGGUGAUAGCUGGUUCUCCCCGAAAGCUAUUUAGGUAGCGCCUCGAGGCUUCGGUCCUGGAGGUAGAGCACUGGAACGGCUAGGGGCCCUACCAGGUUACCAAACCGUACCAAACUCCGAAUGCCAGGAACCGUGACCUCGGGAGGCAGACGGUCGGUGAUAACGUCGAUCGUCGAGAGGGAAACAACCCAGACCGCCAGCUAAGGCCCCAAAUUCUGCACUAAGUGACGGAAAGGAAGUGGCAGGACCUAGACAACCAGGAGGUUGGCUUAGAAGCAGCCAUCCUUUAAAGAAAGCGUAAUAGCUCACUGGUCGAGUCAGGCCGCGCCGAAAAUGUACCGGGGCUCAAGUGCAGAGCCGAAGCUGCGGCUGCAAGCGCGAGCUUGCGGGGUAGGGGAGCGUCCCAGCGCCGGUGAAGCCGUACCGCAAGGAGCGGUGGAGGUUCUGGGAGUGCUGAUGCCGGAAUGAGUAGCGAUAAGACAGGUGAGAACCCUGUCCGCCGAAAGCCCAAGGUUUCCUGGGGAAGGUCGAUCCGCCCAGGGUUAGCCGGGACCUAAGCCGAGGCCGAAAGGCGUAGGCGAUGGACAGUGGGUUAAUAUUCCCACGCCGCCCGUCACGCGUUGAAGCGAGCGGGGACGGAGGAGGGUAGCCGGGCCAGGUGCUGGACGUCCUGGUUUGCCUGUGUAGGCGGGGGUCAUGCGAUCAAAAGGUGGCCCCGAUAACGCUGAGGCAGGUGACGAGGCCGCAAGGCCGAAGUUGGUGAUCCCAUGCUCCCGAGAAAAGCCGCGCGUGGAGCGUGACAGGCGCCCGUACCGGAAACCGACACAGGUGGGCGAGGAGAGAAUCCUAAGGCGCUUGAGAGAACCCUGGUCAAGGAACUAGGCAAAUUGCCACCGUAACUUCGGGAGAAGGUGGGCCCGCGUACCGUGAAGGACCUUGCGUCCCGAGCGGGAACGGGCCGCAGAGACCAGGCGGUGCCGACUGUUUAUCAAAAACACAGGACUCUGCAAACACGUCAAGUGGACGUAUAGGGUCUGACGCCUGCCCGGUGCCGGAAGGUUAAGGGGAUCCGUCAGCGCAAGCGAAGCGGUGAACCGAAGCCCCGGUAAACGGCGGCCGUAACUAUAACGGUCCUAAGGUAGCGAAAUUCCUUGUCGGGUAAGUUCCGACCUGCACGAAAGGCGUAACGAGCGCCGCACUGUCUCGACCAGGGACUCAGCGAAAUUGAAAUAGCUGUGAAGAUGCAGUUUACCCGCAGCAAGACGGAAAGACCCCGUGAACCUUUACUACAACUUGCCAGUGGCACUAGGGUUCGUCUGUGUAGGAUAGGUGGGAGGCGAUGAAGCAGGGCCGCCAGGCUCUGUGGAGCCGACGGUGAAAUACCACCCUGGCGGAUUCUGGUGCCUAACUGACCGCCGUGAUCCGGUGGCAGGACACUGGCUGGUGGGUAGUUUGACUGGGGCGGUCGCCUCCCAAAAGGUAACGGAGGCGCGCGAAGGUACCCUCAGCCCGAUUGGAAACCGGGCGUCGAGUGCAAAGGCAUAAGGGUGCUUGACUGCGAGACCGACGGGUCGAGCAGGUGGGAAACCAGGCCUUAGUGAUCCGGUGGUUCCGCAUGGAAGGGCCAUCGCUCAACGGAUAAAAGGUACUCCGGGGAUAACAGGCUUAUCUCCCCCAAGAGUUCACAUCGACGGGGAGGUUUGGCACCUCGAUGUCGGCUCAUCGCAUCCUGGGGCUG